RNAcentral lists this ribosomal RNA (478 nucleotides) under uncultured bacterium. RNAcentral's name for it is "partial 16S ribosomal RNA". It matches the Rfam family "Bacterial small subunit ribosomal RNA", at positions 28 to 507 of the family's 1533-position model. The record is from RNAcentral.
GAUGAACGCUAGCGGCAGGCCUAACACAUGCAAGUCGAGGGAGAAGCCCUUUCGGGGGCAGAAACCGGCGCACGGGUGCGUAACGCGUAUGCAACCUACCUUUCACAGGGGGAUAGCCCGAAGAAAUUUGGAUUAAUACCCCAUAAUAUUAUUGGAUGGCAUCAUUUGAUAAUUAAAACUGCGGUGGUGAAAGAUGGGCAUGCGUCCUAUUAGCUGGUUGGAGUGGUAACGGCACCCCAAGGCUACGAUAGGUAGGGGUCCUGAGAGGGAGAUCCCCCACACUGGUACUGAGACAGGGACCAGACUCCUACGGGAGGCAGCAGUGAGGAAUAUUGGUCAAUGGUCGGAAGACUGAACCAGCCAUGCCGCGUGCAGGAAGAAUGCCUUAUGGGUUGUAAACUGCUUUUAUAUGGGAAGAAUAAGGCGUACGUGUACGUUGAUGACGGUACCAUAUGAAUAAGCAUCGGCUAACUCCGUG